AGUGAACGCUGGCGGUAGGCCUAACACAUGCAAGUCGAACGGCAGCACAGUAAGAGCUUGCUCUUACGGGUGGCGAGUGGCGGACGGGUGAGGAAUACAUCGGAAUCUACUUUUUCGUGGGGGAUAACGUAGGGAAACUUACGCUAAUACCGCAUGCGACCUACGGGUGAAAGCAGGGGAUCUUCGGACCUUGCGCGAUUGAAUGAGCCGAUGUCGGAUUAGCUAGUUGGCGGGGUAAAGGCCCACCAAGGCGACGAUCCGUAGCUGGUCUGAGGGGAUGAUCAGCCACACUGGAACUGAGACACGGUCCAGACUCCUACGGGAGGCAGCAGUGGGGAAUAUUGGACAAUGGGCGCAAGCCUGAUCCAGCCAUACCGCGUGGGUGAAGAAGGCCUUCGGGUUGUAAAGCCCUUUUGUUGGGAAAGAAAAGCAGCAGGUUAAUACCCCGCUGUUCUGACGGUACCCAAAGAAUAAGCACCGGCUAGCUUCGUG
This 492-nucleotide ribosomal RNA is filed under the name uncultured bacterium. RNAcentral describes it as "partial 16S ribosomal RNA". It matches the Rfam family "Bacterial small subunit ribosomal RNA", at positions 29 to 507 of the family's 1533-position model. The record is from RNAcentral.